CGGAGGGUGCAAGCGUUAUCCGGAUUCACUGGGUUUAAAGGGUGCGUAGGUGGGUCUGUAAGUCAGUGGUGAAAUCUCCAAGCUUAACUUGGAAACUGCCGUUGAUACUAUAGCUCUUGAAUGUUGUGGAGGUGAGCGGAAUAUGUCAUGUAGCGGUGAAAUGCUUAGAUAUGACAUAGAACACCAAUUGCGAAGGCAGCUCACUACACAAAUAUUGACACUGAGGCACGAAAGCGUGGGAUCAAACAGGAUU
RNAcentral lists this ribosomal RNA (253 nucleotides) under uncultured bacterium. RNAcentral's name for it is "partial 16S ribosomal RNA". It matches the Rfam family "Bacterial small subunit ribosomal RNA", at positions 526 to 779 of the family's 1533-position model. The record is from RNAcentral.